UGGGGAAUAUUGCACAAUGGGCGAAAGCCUGAUGCAGCAAUGCCGCGUGCGGGAUGACGGCCUUCGGGUUGUAAACCGCUUUCAUCCAUGACGAAGCGCAAGUGACGGUAAUGGAAGAAGAAGGACCGGCCAACUACGUGCCAGCAGCCGCGGUGAUACGUAGGGUCCGAGCGUUGUCCGGAAUUAUUGGGCGUAAAGGGCUUGUAGGCGGUCUCUCACGUCGGAAGUGAAAACUCAGGGCUUAACCCUGAGCCGGCUUCCGAUACGGGGAGACUAGAGGAAUGCAGGGGAGAACGGAAUUCCUGGUGGAGCGGUGGAAUGCGCAGAUAUCAGGAGGAACACCAGUGGCGAAGGCGGUUCUCUGGGCAUUUCCUGACGCUGAGAAGCGAAAGCGUGGGGAUCAAACAGG
This 409-nucleotide ribosomal RNA is filed under the name uncultured bacterium. RNAcentral describes it as "bacterial SSU rRNA". It matches the Rfam family "Bacterial small subunit ribosomal RNA", at positions 355 to 776 of the family's 1533-position model. The record is from RNAcentral.